GAUGAAGAACGUAGCGAAAUGCGAUACGUAAUGUGAAUUGCAGAAUUCAGUGAAUCAUCGAAUCUUUGAACGCACAUUGCACUCUCUGGUAUUCCGGAGAGUAUGCUUGUUUGAGUAUCUGUAAACAUCUCAAAUCUCUCUUCAAUUGCUUCAAUUGGGUCGAGAGAAUUGGAUUUGAGCGAUCCCGACUCCUUCGUCAGAAAGAGGAGGGUCGCUUGAAAUGCAGGUGCAGCUGGACAUUCUUCUGAGCAAAAAGCAUAUCUAUUUAGUCCCGUCAAACUGAUUAUUACUUUUGCUUCAGCUAAUAUAAAGGUUGAAUGAACUACCAACGCUGAUUGCAGGAAAACAUGUUCGUUUAUUCGGACUUGUAAACUCGAUCUCAAAUCAAGUAAGACUACCCGCUGAACUUAAGCAUAUCAAUAAGCGGAGGA
RNAcentral lists this unclassified non-coding RNA (431 nucleotides) under soil metagenome. Its description in RNAcentral is "partial contains 5.8S ribosomal RNA, internal transcribed spacer 2, and large subunit ribosomal RNA". The stretch from base 1 to 120 matches the Rfam family "5.8S ribosomal RNA", at positions 35 to 154 of the family's 154-position model. The record is from RNAcentral.